CCUACGGGAGGCAGCAGUGAGGAAUAUUGGUCAAUGGGCGCGAGCCUGAACCAGCCAAGUAGCGUGAAGGAUGACUGCCCUACGGGUUGUAAACUUCUUUUGUAAAGGAAUAAAGUGCGGCACGUGUGCCUCUUUGUAUGUACUUUAUGAAUAAGCAUCGGCUAACUCCGUGCCAGCAGCCGCGGUAAUACGGAGGAUCCGAGCGUUAUCCGGAUUUAUUGGGUUUAAAGGGAGCGGAGAUGGGUUGUUAAGUCAGUUGUGAAAGUUUGCGGCUCAACCGUAAAAGUGCAAUUGAUACUGGCAGUCUUGAGUGGAGUUGAGGUAGGCGGAAUGCGUGGUGUAGCGGUGAAAUGCUUAGAUAUCACGAAGAACUCCGAUUGCGAAGGCAGCCUACUAAAGUGCAACUGACAUUGAUGCUCGAAAGUGUGGGUAUCAAACAGGAUUAGAUACCCCAGUAGUC
Molecule: ribosomal RNA, 460 nt
Filed under: uncultured bacterium
Lineage: Bacteria
Description: partial 16S ribosomal RNA
Rfam family: Bacterial small subunit ribosomal RNA
Source: RNAcentral